Molecule: unclassified non-coding RNA, 2454 nt
Filed under: Neodiprion lecontei (redheaded pine sawfly)
Lineage: Eukaryota; Metazoa; Arthropoda; Insecta; Hymenoptera; Diprionidae
Description: centromere protein I, transcript variant X1
Source: RNAcentral
CACUUGUCUGUGCUUGUCAAGUACGCUGCCAAAGAACCGAUACGUGUCCGAGAAGCCCUGUGAUCUGGCACACUCUCUGACACUGACCACUCUAGUUUGUUCAGGAUGUAAAACUCGACCCUGUGGUACAGAGAAAAGUGUUCCGCAACUUUACUCGUCAGAUGCGGACAUCGCGGACCAUAGAAUUCUACGAGGUUAGCUAUCUUCGCUAUGACAAGUAAAACGAGGAGUAAUGCCGGCUAGAUUUAAAUUAAACAGCCUGGAAAAAUGACUGCAGAAAACGUAGAGGUGUACACGUCUUACUUAAAGAGAUGCAAAGAUGCUGGAAAACUGCUUGCUGGAUUUUCUGAAAUGCUAACGAUGUUAAAGGCUGAAGUCUCGACCAGUGGUCUUCCCGACGAACAGAUUCAGCUCUUGAUUUACAUCAUCACUAAAAUCACUAUGGGUAGUACACAUCGUGCAGCUUUGAUCAAAUGUUUGAUCCCUAUCCAUAGAAUGACCGAAAAGAUUGUCCAAGACAUUGGGUUAUGGUUUAUAUCGACGUCAAAGAACAUCCCAGUUCUACCGGGUAUAGCUGUACUUCAAUGGUUUACUGGUCUAUUGAAUUAUGGGCUUGUCGAAGCUGUGACUAUCAACGCUUUCUAUGAUGCCUUUUUUUUCAUCCUUGUGAAGAAUACAAAAUUUGAACCCUUCGUUGCUCAACUAAUCUAUGUUUUAACUAAGCCUGAAGACGUCACCCGCAGGCAGGUGUCGAGAAUUCUUAAACUGCAAUCGCAGUACGCAAAACCCAGGAAACAUCUGACUGCUUUGUUGUCAUUGUUCAAGUCUUACAAACCAGAACAUGUGCCCGAGAAGAUUCCAGCGACAAAUGUCGAAAGUGCUUGGAAGCGACUUCCAGAAUCUCUGAGACUUGACCUUCAGGAUGCUGCCAAGAGGUGUGACGCAAGUCACUUGGCAGCGUGGCAACCUGACUUAGUGUGGAAUCCGGUAACAAGUGGCGCGCAAUCAAGGAAACAGCGAAAGAUGCCCAUCCCAACUGUUAGCUACAUCAAUAUUGGCUCGAGUAUUUCAAAGGAACCGGAUGCGAAGUCAAUUUUCGAAAUUAGAACACUGGAUGAACUUGGAAAGCAUCAGCUAAGCUUGGAACUACCGUGCAACGCGCUGUCGCUGUUAGCCAACAACGCAGGCUUACAUAUUCUGACGUUUGCAUCAUCUGACUAUCAGAGUAGAUUCUGUUACAACCUGUACAACACCCUACAAAAUGCCUUUAUAUACGAAGUUGGAAAGUUUUCUUACCAAGACCGUGAACGACUACUUUUUAUGACCGCUCAACUGUCGCGAUAUAUGCAGCAGGAAAUCAUUCUUGUCUCACGAUUCCUAAAAAAUUACCUGCCAUUUUGGAAUACGAGGGACCACCGAGACAGCAUUUUCGCACUAAUCCAGUGGAUCACAAUCUCAUCGUUUACCGACGUACACAGGAACAUCCUUUUGCCCCUUCAAACAAUGUGGGAGUCUUCGUCGAUCAACGUUAAGUGCGAGAUCCUCACGACUCUGAGAUCAAUGGUGACGAAUCUUUUCAUGAAAAAUGAAUUCAAAGAUAGAGAUCUUGGACAAGCUCCACUUUUCCUAGAAACAGAUGCGCAAAGUCUAGACAUUGCGGACGUUAUAGAUCCGCUGAUGAAAUUCACGAGUGAUCUAAUUGUUUCGGGUCUAUACAGCGAAUCAAACAAUGGUAUCUUGGUCUCCGAGGCAUUAAUUUUUUACCAGCAUGUGUCUGAGCUUGAGAAACGCAGUGACCUACCAUGCUGGACUAUCUCACCAUCAGUCGUUAUUUACAGUGGACUUGUCAGUCGGAGCAUGGCCAUUUUGUCAGGAGUCUGCGCUUUGUUGUUGAGGUACCGUGGUAUCAACGCAAAACUCCGAGAACUCAACCGUCGCGAUCUUUUUGAAACAAAAAUCAAAAUAAUCGACACAUACGCCACUGACAUAGCAAAGAGUCUGUUGUACAAUGAGGCAUUUUGUGAAUCUGAGGACCGAUGUUUUCUGAGGGGAAUCCCUGAACCUCUACUGCUCGACUUCAGAACUUCGUGUGCGUUCGACACAGCACUCAACAUUAGCAAUCAUUUCGCCAUUUUGCCCUACAAAUUUUCACUAAUCGAUAUGGGACUGGAAAUUGUAACAACAGAGGAUUGUAUCAGCGUUGCUGAAACAUACUAUCCAGAGGUGGCUAAAUUUCUCCAGAUCAUCAGUGAAUAGCUCGUAGCAAUAAAUUCAUUCAACUUAAAAUACUUACUUAUAAGUUGGCAUAAUCAGGAGGCAAUAUAAUACCCUCAAACUUAUCAGAGUUGAAGAUCAGUGAAGACGAUUGACCAGCAUCGUGGAUUUCAUUGGAAUUCUCAACUCCUCAUUUUGUUAAGUGCCCACAGGCGAAAUAAAAAUUAAUCAACAAAAUAA